UGAGUGCGAGCUGCUACGGCAGCGAAGUUGGUGAUGUCAUGCUUCCAAGAAAAGCCCUAUACCCGUUAAGGCAUCAUGGCCUGUACCCGAAACCGACACAGGUGGGGUGGUAGAGAAUACCGAGGGGCGCGAGGUAACUCUCUCUAAGGAACUCGGCAAAAUGGCCCCGUAACUUCGGGAGAAGGGGUGCCACCGCAAGGUGGUCGCAGUGAAGAGGCCCAGGCGACUGUUUACCAAAAACACAGGUCUCCGCUAAGUCGCAAGACGAUGUAUGGGGGCUGACGCCUGCCCAGUGCCGGAAGGUUAAGGAAGCUGGUCAGCGCAAGCGAAGCUAGCGACUGAAGCCCCGGUGAACGGCGGCCGUAACAAUAACGGUCCUAAGGUAGCGAAAUUCCUUGUCGGGUAAGUUCCGACCCGCACGAAAGGCGUAACGAUCUGGGCGCUGUCUCGGAGAGAGGCUCGGCGAAAUAGAAUUGUCUGUGAAGAUGCGGACUACGUGCACCCGGACAGAAAGACCCUAUGAAGCUUUACUGUAGCUUGGUAUUGUGCCCGGGCUCGCAAUGCGCAGGAUAGGUGGGAGGCUUUGAUCAUCGGCUUGCGGGUCGAUGUGAGCCAACGGUGAGAUACCACUCUUUGCGAGCUAGGGUUCUAACGGCCACCCGUCAUCCGGGGGCCGGACAGUACCUGGUGGGCAGUUUGACUGGGGCGGUCGCCUCCUAAAAGGUAACGGAGGCGCGCAAAGGUUUGCUCAGGCUGGUUGGAAAUCAGCCGACGAGUGUAAAAGCAGAAGCAAGCUUGACUGUGAGACCAACAAGUCGAACAGGGAGGAAACUCGGCUUUAGUGAUCCGACGGUUCUGAGUGGAAGGGCCGUCGCUCAACGGAUAAAAGUUACUCUAGGAUAACAGGCUGAUCUCCCCCAAGAGUUCACAUCGACGGGGAGGUUUGGCACCUCGAUGUCGGCUCAUCGCAACCUGGGGCUGAAGUCGGUCCCAAGGGUUGGGCUGUUCGCCCAUUAAAGCGGUACGCGAGCUGGGUUCAGAACGUCGUGAGACAGUUCGGUCCAUAUCCGGUGCUCGCGCAGGAAUAUUGAGAGGAUUUCUCCCUAGUACGAGAGGACCGGGAGGAACGCACCUCUGGUGUACCAGUUAUCGUGCCAACGGUAAACGCUGGGUAGCCAUGUGCGGAGUGGAUAACCGCUGAAAGCAUCUAAGUGGGAAGCCCACCUCAAGAUGAGUAUUCCCAUGGCGUAAGCCAGUAAGGUCACGGGAAGAACACCCGUUGAUAGGCUCUAUGUGGAAGCGCAGUAAUGCGUGAAGCAGAGGAGUACUAAUAGACC
This 1337-nucleotide ribosomal RNA is filed under the name metagenome. RNAcentral describes it as "bacterial LSU rRNA". It matches the Rfam family "Bacterial large subunit ribosomal RNA", at positions 1564 to 2910 of the family's 2925-position model. The record is from RNAcentral.